UGUAGCUUGCGCCAGAAUGCUGCAAUGGCACCUACAAAGAACUUGCAGGGGAUUUGCAAUAGCUUUCGUUACCUAGUUCCUACUUGGCAGUUUCCUGCUUGGAGGCUUCUUCGAAAGACUCUCCUUCUACUAACUCCGGCACAUCAUCGUCUUCCUCCUCUGCAAUUCCUCCGAGAUUAUCCUUUUUCUGGUACUGCUCAGCAAGCUUCUUCAAUUGCGCUAAGUUCAUCUUUUCAGGUCCUAGCUGAUUAAUGAUACUGGGCAAGAUAUCUUGAAGCUUCUUCGUCUGAGAAGGUCCACUCACCACCCACGUGUUGGC
Molecule: long non-coding RNA, 319 nt
Filed under: Physcomitrium patens
Lineage: Eukaryota; Viridiplantae; Streptophyta; Bryopsida; Funariales; Funariaceae
Description: long non-coding RNA (PPAT_LNC000751)
Source: RNAcentral